RNAcentral lists this ribosomal RNA (253 nucleotides) under uncultured bacterium. RNAcentral's name for it is "partial 16S ribosomal RNA". It matches the Rfam family "Bacterial small subunit ribosomal RNA", at positions 524 to 776 of the family's 1533-position model. The record is from RNAcentral.
UACGUAGGGUGCAAGCGUUAAUCGGAAUUACUGGGCGUAAAGCGUGCGCAGGCGGUUGUGCAAGACAGAUGUGAAAUCCCCGGGCUCAACCUGGGAACUGCAUUUGUGGCUGUACGGCUGGAGUGCGGCAGAGGGGGAUGGAAUUCCGCGUGUAGCAGUGAGAUGCGAAGAUAUGCGGAGGAACACCGAUGGCGAAGGCAAUCCCCUGGGCCUGCACUGACGCUCAUGCACGAAAGCGUGGGGAGCAAACAGG